GACGAACGCUGGCGGUGUGCUUAACACAUGCAAGUGGUGCGACGAACCAGAGCUUGCUCUGGGGCAAAGCCGCGAACGGGUGAGUAACACGUGGGUAAUCUACCCCCGAUGACCGGGACAACCCGAGGAAACUCGGGCUAAUACCGGAUGUGGUACGGAGACAUAAGUCUCUUUACUAAAGGUAGCUUCGGCUUCCGCAUUGGGAGGGGCCCGCGGCCCAUUAGCUAGUUGGUGGGGUCAAGGCCUACCAAGGCAACGAUGGGUAGCUGGUCUGAGAGGACGAUCAGCCACACUGGGACUGAGACACGGCCCAGACUCCUACGGGAGGCAGCAGUGGGGAAUCUUGCGCAAUGCGCGAAAGCGUGACGCAGCAACACCGCGUGAGGGAAGACGGCCUUAGGGUUGUAAACCUCUUUCAGAUGGGACGAAGGUGAUGCGGUGAAUAGCCGAUGUCAUUGACGGUACCGUCAGAAGAAGCUCCGGCUAACUACGUGCCAGCAGCCGCGGUAAU
Molecule: ribosomal RNA, 511 nt
Filed under: uncultured bacterium
Lineage: Bacteria
Description: bacterial SSU rRNA
Rfam family: Bacterial small subunit ribosomal RNA
Source: RNAcentral